RNAcentral lists this ribosomal RNA (490 nucleotides) under uncultured bacterium. Its description in RNAcentral is "partial 16S ribosomal RNA". It matches the Rfam family "Bacterial small subunit ribosomal RNA", at positions 30 to 507 of the family's 1533-position model. The record is from RNAcentral.
AUUGAACGCUGGCGGCAUGCCUUACACAUGCAAGUCGAACGGCAGCAUGAUCUAGCUUGCUCGAUUGAUGGCGAGUGGCGCACGGGUGAGUAAUACAUCGGAACGUGCCCUGUAGUGGGGGAUAACUAGUCGAAAGAUUAGCUAAUACCGCAUACGACCUGAGGGUGAAAGUGGGGGACCGCAAGGCCUCAUGCUAUAGGAGCGGCCGAUGUCUGAUUAGCUAGUUGGUGAGGUGAAGGCUCACCAAGGCGACGAUCAGUAGCUGGUCUGAGAGGAGGAUCAGCCACACUGGGACUGAGAAACGGCCCAGACUCCUACGGGAGGCAGCAGUGGGGAAUUUUGGACAAUGGGCGAAAGCCUGAUCCAGCAAUGCCGCGUGUGUGAAGAAGGCCUUCGGGUUGUAAAGCACUUUUGUCCGGAAAGAAAUGGCUCUGGUUAAUACCUGGGGUGGAUGACGGUACCGGAAGAAUAAGGACCGGCUAACUACGUG